RNAcentral lists this ribosomal RNA (446 nucleotides) under uncultured bacterium. RNAcentral describes it as "bacterial SSU rRNA". It matches the Rfam family "Bacterial small subunit ribosomal RNA", at positions 329 to 792 of the family's 1533-position model. The record is from RNAcentral.
UUCCAGACUCCUACGGGAGGCAGCAGUAGGGAAUUUUGCGCAAUGGGCGAAAGCCUGACGCAGCAACGCCGCGUGAUUGAUUAAGCCCUUCGGGGUGUAAAGAUCUGUCAGUGGGGACGAAACUUGACGGUACCCACAGAGGAAGCAUCGGCUAACUCCGUGCCAGCAGCCGCGGUAAUACGGAGGAUGCGAGCGUUAUCCGGAUUUAUUGGGUUUAAAGGGUGCGCAGGCGGAGGCACAAGUCAGCGGUAAAAUCGGGGGGCUCACCCCCGCUCCGCCGUUGAAACUGUGUCCCUUGAGUGCGCGAAGGGUAGGCGGAAUGCGUGGUGUAGCGGUGAAAUGCAUAGAUAUCACGCAGAACUCCGAUCGCGAAGGCAGCCUACCGGCGCGCAACUGACGCUCAUGCACGAAAGCGUGGGUAUCGAACAGGAUUAGAUACCCUGGUA